GUAAAAAUGAAUAAAAUUGUGUUAACUUUUUGAACUAAUCAAUGAUCAUUGAUUUGAUCUCAGGUCUUACAAAAUUGCAUAACUGAAGAAUUCAUCGAAGUUGAGUUUAAUAUUAAUUUCUGCCGGUUUGCUUGUUUCAAAUACGAAACACUUAAUUUUAUUCUGUAGCAAAAAUCCACUCAGCAGUUAUCACAAGGCUCCUGUAGCCUGUACCCAUUUAAAGACAUGAAGCACGAUUUGGUAUUUUCUAAGCACAAAAUCAAGCCUAAUUAAUUAAAAGUCAGUUUCAUAGAAAGCCAUGAUACAGUUAGCUGCCCGAACAAUGGCUGAGGAACAGCUCUGAAAACAUUUCCUGUUUACCCUGAUUCUGUAAAGCAGAUUAUUGAGACUAGAACUGGGCACAAAUGUCAUUUUUCCCCUCUAUACAGUUUGUUACGCAAUUUCCCCAAAAGGCAUUCCUUGUUUUGUCGAGUAUGAUGUUCUGAAGAACGUGUUGUCAUAUUAUCAUGCGAAUCUUCUGCGUCUUCACGGAGGCAUCGGUUUCGUUCAAAAACGAGCACAAAAAAAAAAAAAAAAACGCCAAGUUGAAACACAAUACUGGACGUUUGGUGAAAACAGGAAAUUUCCGUAUCACCUGCAGAUGUCGGAGCGGACAGCAGAAUGUUUGUGAGCGUAAGCCGAAGCACUUUGAAGUGACUGAGACGCGGUAGGCGUGGACCGUGCCAGACCUCGAGGCGGUCUCGAAUUCCGCUCCGAUAAUCAUACGGCGAGGAGCAGAGGAGUGUACGGACCGUACUUGUUUAUGGUCCUCGGUAGACGGAACACCUGGCACUUCAGACGCACCACGGUGCGUACGCCAGAGUCUGCAUGCACACGCGUGAACUCCCCACGCUCAGAGAACGAAAACAGUCAUUGCCUCUCGUCUCUGGCCGUCUCUGCGGAAGGGAAAUGGACUUGGAGGACCCAGGGGUUUUGCUACAACAUGAACCUCACGUCCCGUGACAAAGCCAAGACCCUUCAGAUCUGGCUGAAUACAAUCCUUGAAGGAAGACAUUUAAUGAUAAAAAGAGACUCAUGAAUGAUGGUAUGCUCACAUGCUCAUUACGAAGUGAAGGUACUGUUCUGAACAUAUAGAGGCUCCUUUGGAUGUCGAAUAGUCUAGUAUUUAGAAAUGUAUCUCCUGUUAGUAUCUCCCUCUGCAUAUUCCAAUCCUAAAGCUUUUACCUUCUAUGGCCUUGUGCUCUUGACUCACAGCUGACCGUUUCUGUGCCCCUUAGGGAUUUUUGUGUACCUGCUUCAUGUCUCUGUCCGGUCGGCUUUGCUGGAGACUUAGUUCUGCUGAUGUUCCCUUUCCAGAUUUACUCUAACAGCAAUGUUCUUUGUAUGUGGUAUCCCAGGCGAGGUCUUGCUGGAAAAGUGUAGUGUCAACAUAGUUUUCCCUGAUUCACAUUCUGCACACAAAUGUAUACCUGAGUUGUGUUUCAUGUGUUAUAUGAUGAACACAUUAAACAUUCAUUUAAAUGCCCCACAUUUUCAGCUGCUUUGUUUUCUUGUGUGUUUCAGCACCACUUA
Molecule: long non-coding RNA, 1572 nt
Organism: Scleropages formosus (Asian bonytongue)
Lineage: Eukaryota; Metazoa; Chordata; Actinopteri; Osteoglossiformes; Osteoglossidae
Source: Ensembl